This 302-nucleotide long non-coding RNA is filed under the name Panax ginseng (ginseng). RNAcentral's name for it is "long non-coding RNA (PGIN_LNC007457)". The record is from RNAcentral. Lineage: Eukaryota; Viridiplantae; Streptophyta; Magnoliopsida; Apiales; Araliaceae.
UCCUUGAUAACUUCCUGACUGGUUUAUGUUUCGGUGGUUGGUGUUGUUGUUGUUGCUGUUGUUGUUGUUGCGGUUAUCCCAUUUCCUCUUUCCCAGAUAACUUCCACCACUGCUACUACCUCCACGAGUCUCUCCCCCAGCAUUUUUGUUCUUCUUCUCUUUGUUGUAUUGGCUCAAUGCCUCUCUACCUCCCUCAGCAAUUAUCGCCUUCUCCAAUAAUGUGGCGAACGAGUCGAUUUGAAGGACCGACACCUUGUUAAACAACCAAGGUUUUAGUCCAAGUUCGAAGCGUCGAGAUUUCC